GACGAACGCUGGCGGCGUGCUUAACACAUGCAAGUCGAACGGAAAGGCCCUGCUUUUGUGGGGUGCUCGAGUGGCGAACGGGUGAGUAACACGUGAGUAACCUGCCCUUGACUUUGGUAUAACUUCAGGAAACUGGGGCUAAUACCGGAUAGGAGCUCCUGCUGCAUGGUGGGGGUUGGAAAGUUUCGGCGGUUGGGGAUGGACUCGCGGCUUAUCAGCUUGUUGGUGGGGUAGUGGCUUACCAAGGCUGUGACGGGUAGCCGGCCUGAGAGGGUGACCGGCCACAUUGGGACUGAGAUACGGCCCAGACUCCUACGGGAGGCAGCAGUGGGGAAUAUUGCACAAUGGGCGGAAGCCUGAUGCAGCAACGCCGCGUGCGGGAUGACGGCCUUCGGGUUGUAAACCGCUUUCGCCUGUGACGAAGCGUGAGUGACGGUAAUGGGUAAAGAAGCACCGGCUAACUACGUG
RNAcentral lists this ribosomal RNA (468 nucleotides) under uncultured bacterium. RNAcentral's name for it is "partial 16S ribosomal RNA". It matches the Rfam family "Bacterial small subunit ribosomal RNA", at positions 28 to 507 of the family's 1533-position model. The record is from RNAcentral.